AUUGAACGCUGGCGGCAGGCCUAACACAUGCAAGUCGAGCGGAUGAAGGGAGCUUGCUCCUGGAUUCAGCGGCGGACGGGUGAGUAAUGCCUAGGAAUCUGCCUGGUAGUGGGGGAUAACGUCCGGAAACGGGCGCUAAUACCGCAUACGUCCUGAGGCAGAAAGUGGGGGAUCUUCGGACCUCACGCUAUCAGAUGAGCCUAGGUCGGAUUAGCUAGUUGGUGGGGUAAAGGCCUACCAAGGCGACGAUUCGUAACUGGUCUGAGAGGAUGAUCAGUCACACUGGAACUGAGACACGGUCCAGAGUCCUACGGGAGGCAGCAGUGGGGAAUAUUGGACAAUGGGCGAAAGCCUGAUCCAGCCAUGCCGCGUGUGUGAAGAAGGUCUUCGGAUUGUAAAGCACUUUAAGUUGGGAGGAAGGGCAGUAAGUUAAUACCUUGCUGUUUUGACGUUACCAACAGAAUGAGCACCGGCUAACUUCGUG
This 484-nucleotide ribosomal RNA is filed under the name uncultured bacterium. RNAcentral describes it as "partial 16S ribosomal RNA". It matches the Rfam family "Bacterial small subunit ribosomal RNA", at positions 30 to 507 of the family's 1533-position model. The record is from RNAcentral.